UUCGGUACCGUCGACUCAAACCGUCUCGUUGUUGUAAGCCGUGGGUUUGAUACGGCGAGGACCUAACCCAGUUCCCGGCCGUCGCCAUUGAAGGAUUCGGAAACCCCUUCCUCUCCUCCGCUGUGAGGCUCUCCGCGACGGGUAGGAUCGGCGCUCGCGGCGGAGAUCGGGUGCAGGGCGUCGCAGGCGCUGAUGGGCGCCUCGGCUGCGCCGUUCCAAAUCGGUGCACUACUCCGCUGCCUUGGGUGUCCACGCGGUCACAUAGACCGUGCUUCUCAGUGCCCGUGAAGUGCGUGCAGCCUGCACGCCAACCUCGGGGACACUGAUGUGAAGGUCGCAUAUGGCUAGUGGCUAUGCUAGUUUUGAAUUGCAGUAACCUACUAUGAUUGUCUCUGAAAUCUGAAAUUCUGAAUUGUUUGUAACUUUUUGGCGUUACUAGAAGUUAGCUUCCUUUCGUCAUGCCAGUCUCAGGUUAUUUCCUUUUGUUUGGUCGUGAGAUGUUGAUUCCUGUUUUUCUAACACCUUUAAUUUUGAUGUUAAAGUUACAGAAUUAGUGAGGUUUGUUUUCUUGUAGCCAGACAAGCGAGCUUAAAACUACACUGAGUAGUGUGGUGGUACAAAAAAUUGUUUCUUUUCUUGUUGUCUA
Molecule: long non-coding RNA, 646 nt
Organism: Triticum dicoccoides
Lineage: Eukaryota; Viridiplantae; Streptophyta; Magnoliopsida; Poales; Poaceae
Exons: 2
Source: RefSeq, a predicted model, not a curated record